UCCGGUUUGGCACCGGCAGUCCUCCCAGAGUCCUCGGCUUGACCCGGUAGCAACUGGGAGCGGGGGUUGCGCUCGUUGCGGGACUUAACCCAACAUCUCACGACACGAGCUGACGACAGCCAUGCACCACCUGUACACCUGCCCCGAAGGGCUGCCGUAUUUCUACGACAUUCAGGUGCAUGUCAAGCCCUGGUAAGGUUCUUCGCGUUGCGUCGAAUUAAACCACAUGCUCCACCGCUUGUGCGGGCCCCCGUCAAUUCCUUUGAGUUUCAACCUUGCGGUCGUACUCCCCAGGCGGGGUACUUCCUGCGUUAGCGCCGGCACCCAGAGGGUCGCUCCCCCAGGCACCUAGUACCCAUCGUUUACAGCCAGGACUAC
Molecule: unclassified non-coding RNA, 378 nt
Filed under: uncultured bacterium
Lineage: Bacteria
Description: contains 16S-23S intergenic spacer region
Source: RNAcentral